ACUCAAAGGAAUAGACGGGGGCCCGCACAAGCAGCGGAGCGUGUGGUUUAAUUCGACGCAACGCGAAGAACCUUACCAGGGCUUGACAUGCGUCUUACAGUCCCGGAAACGGGAUGACCCGCAAGGGUGUGGCGCACAGGUGCUGCACGGCUGUCGUCAGCUCGUGCCGUGAGGUGUUGGGUUAAGUCCCGCAACGAGCGCAACCCCUGUCGUGAGUUACACGCUCUCACGAGACUGCUGGUGGCAAGCCAGAGGAAGGCGGGGAUGACGUCAAGUCAGCGUGGCCCUGACGUCCUGGGCGACACACACGCUACAAUGGCCGGUACAGCGCGUUGCGACGUCGCGAGGCGAAGCUAAUCGCUCAAAGCCGGCCCCAGUUCAGAUUGCAGGCUGAAACCCGCCUGCAUGAAGGCGGAGUUGCUAGUAACCGCGGGUCAGCACACCGCGGUGAAUACGUUCCCGGGCCUUGUACACACCGCCCGU
This 483-nucleotide ribosomal RNA is filed under the name uncultured bacterium. RNAcentral's name for it is "partial 16S ribosomal RNA". It matches the Rfam family "Bacterial small subunit ribosomal RNA", at positions 899 to 1397 of the family's 1533-position model. The record is from RNAcentral.